UACGGGGGGGGCAAGCGUUGUUCGGAAUUACUGGGCGUAAAGGGCCAGUAGGCGGCCAACUAAGUCAGACGUGAAAUCCCCAGGCUCAACCUGGGAACUGCGUCUGAUACUGGAUGGCUUGAGUGCGGCAGAGGAGACUGGAAUUCCUGGUGUAGCAGUGAAAUGCGUAGAUAUCAGGAGGAAUACCGAUGGCGAAGGCAGGUCUCUGGGCUGACACUGACGCUCAUGCACGAAAGCGUGGGGAGCAAACAGG
This 253-nucleotide ribosomal RNA is filed under the name uncultured bacterium. Its description in RNAcentral is "partial 16S ribosomal RNA". It matches the Rfam family "Bacterial small subunit ribosomal RNA", at positions 524 to 776 of the family's 1533-position model. The record is from RNAcentral.